CACCGUAAUACGAUACGAUAGAUUGUUGGAUAAAGCGUUACGAAGGAGAAAGAAAGAAAAAAGAAAAUAAAGGAUACCUUCGACGUGUUUCAGAACUCCUAUGACGUCAUUCGGGGAAUGCUUUUGGCGGAUCGCUUAAAUGAGUCUAAUGCAGUGGCGAACUGGUCUUGGAAAUAACAAGAAGGACGCUGAGGGCUAAUCAAUUUAUGAUGUUUCACCGUAAGUGACCAAAUACUUUCGUGUAAAGAAUAUCAAGCUGUGUUCAUCAUUUAGAAGACGAUCUUCAUAUUUUUUCUAAGCGUCCAUGUAGAAGAAAGUUACUUUCGCCAGAUAAUUUAUUCUCUGAAACCAUGUAAUUUUUGUUUAAAACAUUUUUGUGCACAAUGAACAUUUUCUAAGAUAUUUAAGAUAUAAAUGGUCAACCUGUAUAUACAUUACCUCUAACCUAAUUUAAUCCCAGUUUGAUCUUACCUUUACCUAACCCAACCAUACUCCCAUGCAAUUUAAAAUAACUAACCUAACCUAACUACGACCAAACUCUACGCUGACCUAAUCUAAUCGUAACAUAAGUAUAUGUUGACUUAAGCUUAUACUACUUUAGUAUAGCCCCACCUUAACUCACCCUGACCUAACAUAAUACCUAAUUUGUACACACACAUUUCAGCUUUAUUGUGUUCAUACAAAGAACCAAUGUUAACAAGCUUUUUCACGUAAUAAAUCAAAUGUUGAACAGA
This 734-nucleotide unclassified non-coding RNA is filed under the name Megachile rotundata (alfalfa leafcutting bee). Its description in RNAcentral is "uncharacterized LOC105662677, transcript variant X5". Lineage: Eukaryota; Metazoa; Arthropoda; Insecta; Hymenoptera; Megachilidae. The record is from RNAcentral.